RNAcentral lists this ribosomal RNA (453 nucleotides) under uncultured organism. RNAcentral describes it as "partial 16S ribosomal RNA". It matches the Rfam family "Bacterial small subunit ribosomal RNA", at positions 332 to 801 of the family's 1533-position model. The record is from RNAcentral.
UACACUCCUGCGGGAGGCAGCAGUGGGGAAUAUUGGACAAUGGGCGCAAGCCUGAUCCAGCCAUGCCGCGUGAGUGAUGAAGGCCCUAGGGUUGUAAAGCUCUUUCACCGGUGAAGAUAAUGACGGUAACCGGAGAAGAAGCCCCGGCUAACUUCGUGCCAGCAGCCGCGGUAAUACGAAGGGGGCUAGCGUUGUUCGGAUUUACUGGGCGUAAAGCGCACGUAGGCGGACUAUUAAGUCAGGGGUGAAAUCCCGGGGCUCAACCCCGGAACUGCCUUUGAUACUGGUAGUCUUGAGUUCGAGAGAGGUGAGUGGAAUUCCGAGUGUAGAGGUGAAAUUCGUAGAUAUUCGGAGGAACACCAGUGGCGAAGGCGGCUCACUGGCUCGAUACUGACGCUGAGGUGCGAAAGCGUGGGGAGCAAACAGGAUUAGAUACCCUAGUAGUCCCAUGAU